RNAcentral lists this ribosomal RNA (823 nucleotides) under Triticum aestivum (bread wheat). RNAcentral's name for it is "partial small subunit ribosomal RNA". Lineage: Eukaryota; Viridiplantae; Streptophyta; Magnoliopsida; Poales; Poaceae. The record is from RNAcentral.
CAAAUUUUAUUUUAAUUUUUUCUUUAUUCUUUUUAUAUGUUGUGUCACUUGACUGAGACUUGGUUAAAUCUUAAUCAACUAAGAUCUAGCCACACCCUUUAAUAUUUGACUAACAUACUUGUUAGUUUGGUCAUUACAAAUAGAAGUGCUAUAGCAUAAAUUUAGAAGGGUACAUAAUUGCUCUUUCCUUGCCUGCAACUAAGAUCUAGCCACACCCUUUAAUAUUUGACUAACAUACUUGUCGGUUUGGUCAUUACGAAUAGAAGUGCUAUAGCAUAAAUUUAGAAGGGUACAUAAUUGCCUUUUCCUUGCCUGCUAGUCUGAACACCGAAUAUAUGAGACCAUACAAACUGAUUGAUCUUUGCGAUACUUUGCACUACGAAUCGAACCAAUAAACAUAAGCUUCAGGUUCGGCUCCUAUGCAAGGCAUGAUGACUCCCCGUCCUUCGUGCCCGCUCGUCUCUACGCCGGGGGACAAGUUGUGGUAUGAUUGUGAGUUCUCGGGCACCCGUUGGGGCCCUUCUCCUCCAACUGAGACAGCACGUGUCCACGCCAAUGCGUCGGCGACGGCAGCGCAAUGCCGCCGGGGCCGGGACCGCCGGAGGAGGGUUCCCCGCCUUGCACCUCAUCACCUUGCACCGGCCUCGCAGCCGCCCGGUGCCAUGAUGAGCCGGACGUGGCCAUGAGAACCAAGAGCACGGCCGCUACAAGCUUCCUCACCACCGUGGCCAUGGAGAGUCAGAGACCGAUCGAUGGUGUGUACUGAUUCGAACUUUGUCAGCGGUCGAUCAAAUUAACUAUGCUCUUCUGUGCUGUGUGUCUG